This 468-nucleotide ribosomal RNA is filed under the name uncultured bacterium. RNAcentral's name for it is "partial 16S ribosomal RNA". It matches the Rfam family "Bacterial small subunit ribosomal RNA", at positions 28 to 523 of the family's 1533-position model. The record is from RNAcentral.
GAUGAACGCUGGCGGCGUGCCUAACACAUGCAAGUCGAGCGAUUCUCUUCGGAGAAGAGCGGCGGACGGGUGAGUAACGCGUGGGUAACCUGCCCUGUACACACGGAUAACAUACCGAAAGGUAUGCUAAUACGAGAUAAUAUGCUUUUAUCGCAUGGUAGAAGUAUCAAAGCUCCGGCGGUACAGGAUGGACCCGCGUCUGAUUGGCUAGUUGGAAGUGUAACGGCUUACCAAGGCGACGAUCAGUAGGCGACAUGAGAGGGUGAUCGGCCAAAUUGGAACUGAGACACGGUGCAAACUCCUACGGGAGGCAGCAGUGGGGAAAAUUGCAAGAUGGGCGAAAGCCUGAUGCAGCAACGCCGCGUGAGCGAUGAAGUCCUUCGGGUCGUAAAGCUCUGUCCUCAAGGGAGAUAAUGACGGUACUUGAGGAGGAAGCCCCGGCUAACUACGUGCCAGCCGCCGCCGUAA